GUGGGGAAUAUUGGACAAUGGGCGCAAGCCUGAUCCAGCCAUGCCGCGUGAGUGAUGAAGGCCUUAGGGUUGUAAAGCUCUUUUGUCCGGGAAGAUAAUGACUGUACCGGAAGAAUAAGCCCCGGCUAACUUCGUGCCAGCAGCCGCGGUAAUACGAAGGGGGCUAGCGUUGCUCGGAAUCACUGGGCGUAAAGGGCGCGUAGGCGGACUCUUAAGUCGGGGGUGAAAGCCCAGGGCUCAACCCUGGAAUAGCCUUCGAUACUGAGAGUCUUGAGUUCGGAAGAGGUUGGUGGAAUUGCGAGUGUAGAGGUGAAAUUCGUAGAUAUUCGCAAGAACACCAGUGGCGAAGGCGGCCAACUGGUCCGAUACUGACGCUGAGGCGCGAAAGCGUGGGGAGCAAACAGGAUUAGAAACCCCGGUAGUCC
RNAcentral lists this ribosomal RNA (425 nucleotides) under uncultured bacterium. RNAcentral describes it as "partial 16S ribosomal RNA". It matches the Rfam family "Bacterial small subunit ribosomal RNA", at positions 354 to 796 of the family's 1533-position model. The record is from RNAcentral.